CCAUCUCAGUGUUUUAUAUGCCUGAUAAAACUGAAAAUAUUAAUGAUUAUAAAAGCUAUCUACUCUGUAUUGAGUUUGUUCAAAACGAGUUAGACCCUUGUUGAGAGAUUUAUCAUGCUCCUAAGAUCAAGACAUUUAUUCAGAAAGAUUCACUCUUCCGAAGUAUUAUUGCAUUAGAGGCAUGGGCUAUGCAAAAAAAAUAGAGAUAUUUCGAGGAAAUAAAAAGGAGCAAGUGCUCGACAACCUCGCAGAAAAAUGGACAAGUGUCCGGCAGUAGAAUUAGGGAUACCUCGGUAUCCACUUAAAAAAAAGAGAGAAAAGAAGAAAAUGAUAGCCCAUGGUCCCUCUAAUAAGCAAUAUGCCAGCAAGAGUUGACAAAGAUUUUAAUUUCCAAAGUCUUUGAUCUAAGAGUAUGACAUUCCCCUCCUCGGAUCGCGUUUUGAUCAGGCAAUAAAUGCAAAGUAAGUAUGCUUAAGAAUUUUUGCAAAUUAAAACAACCUCAGUGAGAUAUAUAAAAGAUAAUGAGUGAUCUGAGAGAACCUAUGAGGAUAAAAAGGUAUGCUAACUUUCUUUCAAAAAUAUACAAAAACUCCAAGUGACAGGAUUGAGAAGAAAGGAUCUUUACUCUUAGCCAUAUACUUCCCUGACUACAGUACACAGCGGAAAUUUUAACCAUCCUUUUCUCGAGGACGAGUAAAAGCCUAAGUAUGGGGG
This 714-nucleotide long non-coding RNA is filed under the name Sorghum bicolor (sorghum). RNAcentral's name for it is "long non-coding RNA (SBIC_LNC003082)". The record is from RNAcentral. Lineage: Eukaryota; Viridiplantae; Streptophyta; Magnoliopsida; Poales; Poaceae.